CGUUAGCGGCGGGCCUACCACAUGCAAGUCGAACGCGAAAGGUCUUCGGACUGAGUAGAGUGGCGCACGGGUGAGUAACACGUAGGUAAUCUACCCUUUGGCGGGGGAUAACGUUCCGAAAGGAGCGCUAAUACCGCAUAAGACCACGGAGUCUCCGGACGCUGUGGGAAAAGGUGGCCUCUUCUUGAAAGCUACCACCGAAGGAUGAGCCUGCGUCCCAUCAGCUAGUUGGUAAGGUAAUGGCUUACCAAGGCGAAGACGGGUAGCUGGUUUGAGAGAAUGAUCAGCCACACUGGCACUGGAACACGGGCCAGACUCCUACGGGAGGCAGCAGUGAGGAAUAUUGGGCAAUGGGCGAAAGCCUGACCCAGCCACGCCGCGUGAGUGAUGAAGGCCCUCGGGUCGUAAAGCUCUGUGGAGAGGGACGAAAACCCUGGUUUCAAAUAGGCUCCAGGCUUGACGGUACCUCUUUAGCAAGCACCGGCUAACUCUGUG
This 495-nucleotide ribosomal RNA is filed under the name uncultured bacterium. Its description in RNAcentral is "bacterial SSU rRNA". It matches the Rfam family "Bacterial small subunit ribosomal RNA", at positions 34 to 507 of the family's 1533-position model. The record is from RNAcentral.